This 268-nucleotide ribosomal RNA is filed under the name Pseudomonas aeruginosa. RNAcentral's name for it is "partial 23S ribosomal RNA". It matches the Rfam family "Bacterial large subunit ribosomal RNA", at positions 303 to 565 of the family's 2925-position model. Lineage: Bacteria; Pseudomonadati; Pseudomonadota; Gammaproteobacteria; Pseudomonadales; Pseudomonadaceae. The record is from RNAcentral.
GGACACUCUAUAAGGAGUUACAAAGGACGACAUUAGACGAAUCAUCUGGAAAGAUGAAUCAAAGAAGGUAAUAAUCCUGUAGUCGAAAAUGUUGUCUCUCUUGAGUGGAUCCUGAGUACGACGGAGCACGUGAAAUUCCGUCGGAAUCUGGGAGGACCAUCUCCUAAGGCUAAAUACUCUCUAGUGACCGAUAGUGAACCAGUACCGUGAGGGAAAGGUGAAAAGCACCCCGGAAGGGGAGUGAAAUAGAACCUGAAACCUGUCUCUU